UACAACAUAUUUGCGCGUAUUUUUUACAAUUAAACUUUAAACAUACUUCAAAAUAAUUAUACUUUAGUAUAUUUUCUAAAAGUAUACUUUAGAAAAAUAUACUUAAAGUUAAAGUUUUGUGCAAUUUUUAAAGUAUACUAAAUUUAAACUUAUUUUAAAAUGUAUUUUAGGUAUACUUUAUCGGUAUGCUUAAAGUUAUCAUUAUAAUAAUGCACUGACAGUAUAUUUCUAAAAUACAUUAUUUAGUAUUCUUUAGAAACAGUAUAUUUUAAGCACAUUUUGAAAGUAUAUGGGGUGUACAAGUAUAUUAUUUUAUGGAGAAAUAACGUGGGCUUAAAAUUACGAGAGAGCAGUAUGUUCUGUUACAUUUUAUAUUGUAGAUGUAUACAUUUGUAAUAUACUAUUAACAUAAUAAGGUACACUUUAACUUCACUAUAGUCAAGCAUUGGAUAAACCAAUGAACUGUGUUUUACCACAAAAUGACCAUGGUUUUGCUAAUAAUAAUCAAUACACCAAAAAAAAAACAUGGUUACUAAACUUUUGCCACAAAAAAACAUUCAUUUUCGUAAGGGGAAUAUGAGUGUUUGUUUUUUUGUAGUUUUUGAGUCAAUUGCAUACCGCUUUUAGCUGUACACAUUAAUUAACUUAAACAGUUUUCGUAAAUGCAUUUCAGAGAAAAGUGAAUUCUGAGAUUUGAAUAAUGCAUCUGACGUGUGGGAUGACGUCACGACGCACGUAUUUUGAUUUUUACCAGUCGCUCAAGACAGACGGAUUCAGUCCCAAGAAGCUAAAGUUUUUCAAAGACAUUUGUAGGGAGGACUUUGCAGCUAAUGAUUUCCUAAGGCUGAACCAAAACCUGCCAGACUAAAGUUAAUUUGGGAGAGAAAGACGUUGUAAACUUAAUCAUCUUGACAUUCUUCAAUGAGUAAUUGUUCAAUUUUUAGGCAAAUACUGUACACUUUGAAUGCUGUGAAUAAAACUAUAUUUUAAAUAUAUUUAAAA
Molecule: non-coding RNA, 1002 nt
Organism: Misgurnus anguillicaudatus (oriental weatherfish)
Lineage: Eukaryota; Metazoa; Chordata; Actinopteri; Cypriniformes; Cobitidae
Source: RefSeq, a predicted model, not a curated record